GAUGAACGCUAGCGGCAGGCCUAACACAUGCAAGUCGAGGGGGAAGUUACUUUCGGGUGACUGAGACCGGCGUACGGGUGCGUAACGCGUAUACAAUCUGCCUUUCACUGGGGGAUAGCCCGAAGAAAUUUGGAUUAAUACCCCAUAGUAUAUAGGGACGGCAUCGUUUUUAUAUUAAAGCUUAGGUGGUGAAAGAUGAGUAUGCGUUCUAUUAGCUAGUUGGAGAGGUAACGGCUCCCCAAGGCGAUGAUAGAUAGGGGUUCUGAGAGGGAUGUCCCCCACACUGGUACUGAGAUACGGACCAGACUCCUACGGGAGGCAGCAGUGAGGAAUAGUGGACAAUGGUCGGAAGACUGAUCCAGCCAUGCCGCGUGCAGGAUGAAGGUCUUAUGGAUUGUAAACUGCUUUUGUAAGGGAAGAAUAAGGGCUACGCGUAGUUUGAUGACGGUACCUUACGAAUAAGCAUCGGCUAACUCCGUG
This 480-nucleotide ribosomal RNA is filed under the name uncultured bacterium. Its description in RNAcentral is "partial 16S ribosomal RNA". It matches the Rfam family "Bacterial small subunit ribosomal RNA", at positions 28 to 507 of the family's 1533-position model. The record is from RNAcentral.